UCUCUUCAGGGGCCAAUGUCUUCCAGUAUAUUCUUCGAGAAGUAGCUUUGGAUGUACUAUCAUCAAGUGACUGCCAGAGGUUAAGUCAACGCCCUGAUGUCUCUAAGGUGGUCUGCACCCAAACAAUGUUCAAAAGCUUUUGCCAGGGUGACAGCGGAGGACCUCUUGUGGUAAAAACAUGCUUAGGUACAUGGGUUCAAAUUGGCAUUGUGAGUUAUGCAAGAGGAUGUGCCUAUGGGACCGAACCUGGUGUGUACACACGUGUACCAUAUUUCCGGUCUUGGAUUGAUAAUCAAACUGGUUCUUCAACUGCAUGUUGAUGAUCAAAUCCAUCUCGUGGAUUUCCCUAAUGCUUUGAUUCAAGACACUACUAUUCACCCAAUUUCAACCUAAUAUCUAAAAAAAUCUUGAUUUUAGACUUUCCUCGCUGCUACAACUGAGUUAAUUCAUUUAAAAACAACCACGAGAAGUUACCCUAAUAUUUUGCCUACAAAUCCACUCUAAAAACCUAGCCUUAUCUUACUCCUCAACUGAAACCCCACAUUGAUUACAUAGCCCAGUAUUUUCAGUGAAAAGCAGCUAAAAAAUAUUUUGUUCUAUGAAACUCAUAAAAUUUUACUUCCAAGAAAGGUGGCAAAUGGAUUUAGAGCUAUUCAACUACCCAGUUUGCCUUUUGUUCUCAACUGAAUUUCAUCACUUGCAAAUUUAUGUCUCUUCGACAUAAAUUUGCCAGUUUUCAAGUUUUUCUGGGAAGAGAUUUCAUACAUAUCAUCCUGGAAACCAACUUAUAAGUGCAAUUCAGAGGAAAUGUCGAUCAAAAUGGGCUCUCAGCAUAUUUGAAUGUGGUUGUUCUACAUGGAGUGAUUAAUUCACUGUGUUUGUCUACAUAGCACAUUUAAAUAAAUUUAAUGCUUGCUACAGCACGCAAACUUUUAGAUACUGUCUGAUUGCACUAAAUAAACAAUGAAAUGCAA
Long non-coding RNA from Macrobrachium nipponense, 974 nucleotides. RefSeq lists it as uncharacterized. The record is from RefSeq and is a predicted model, not a curated record. NCBI's taxonomy places the organism in Eukaryota, Metazoa, Arthropoda, Malacostraca, Decapoda, Palaemonidae. The transcript has 2 exons.